Molecule: ribosomal RNA, 253 nt
Filed under: uncultured bacterium
Lineage: Bacteria
Description: partial 16S ribosomal RNA
Rfam family: Bacterial small subunit ribosomal RNA
Source: RNAcentral
UACGGGGGGGGCAAGCGUUGUUCGGAAUUACUGGGCGUAAAGGGUUCGUAGGUGGCCCGCUAAGUCAGACGUGAAAUCCCUCAGCUCAACUGGGGAACUGCGUCUGAGACUGGCGGGCUUGAGUGCAGGAGAGGAACGCGGAAUUCCAGGUGUAGCGGUGAAAUGCUUAGAUAUCGUCAAGAACACCGAUAGCGAAGGCAGCUUACUAGACUGUAACUGACGCUGAGGCACGAAAGUGUGGGGAUCAAACAGG